GAUGAACGCUAGCUACAGGCUUAACACAUGCAAGUCGAGGGGAAACGAUAUUGGAAGCUUGCUUCCGAUAGGCGUCGACCGGCGCACGGGUGAGUAACGCGUAUCCAACCUGCCCACCACUUGGGGAUAACCUUGCGAAAGUAAGACUAAUACCCAAUGAUAUCUCUAGAAGACAUCUGAAGGAGAUUAAAGAUUUAUCGGUGAUGGAUGGGGAUGCGUCUGAUUAGCUUGUUGGCGGGGUAACGGCCCACCAAGGCGACGAUCAGUAGGGGUUCUGAGAGGAAGGUCACCCACGUUGGAACUGUGAUACGGUCCAAACUGCUACGGGAGGCAGCAGUGAGGAAUAUUGGUCAAUGGGCGAGAGCCUGAACCAGCCAAGUAGCGUGCAGGAUGACGGCCCUAUGGGUUGUAAACUGCUUUUAUAAGGGAAUAAAGUGAGCCUCGUGAGGCUUUUUGCAUGUACCUUAUGAAUAAGGACCGGCUAAUUCCGUGCCAGCAGCCGCAGUAA
This 508-nucleotide ribosomal RNA is filed under the name uncultured bacterium. RNAcentral's name for it is "partial 16S ribosomal RNA". It matches the Rfam family "Bacterial small subunit ribosomal RNA", at positions 28 to 523 of the family's 1533-position model. The record is from RNAcentral.